GAUGAACGCUAGCGGCAGGCUUAACACAUGCAAGUCGAGGGGCAGCGCGGGUAGCAAUACCUGGCGGCGACCGGCAAACGGGUGCGGAACACGUACAGAACCUACCUUUGUCUGGGGCAUAGCCCGGAGAAAUCCGGAUUAACUCCCCAUAAUAUAUUUGAGUGGCAUCACUUGGAUAUUAAAAAUUUAUUGGACAGAGAUGGCUGUGCGUCCCAUUAGCUAGUUGGUAGGGUAACGGCCUACCAAGGCAACGAUGGGUAGCUGGUGUGAGAGCACGACCAGCCACACGGGCACUGAGACACGGGCCCGACUCCUACGGGAGGCAGCAGUGAGGAAUAUUGGUCAAUGGACGCAAGUCUGAACCAGCCAUGCCGCGUGAAGGAUGAAGGCCUUCUGGGUUGUAAACUUCUUUUACCUGGGAAGAAAACUACGAUUUCUAUCGUAGCCGACGGUACCAGAGGAAUAAGCACCGGCUAACUCCGUGCCAGCAGCCGCGGUAAAACGU
Molecule: ribosomal RNA, 505 nt
Filed under: uncultured bacterium
Lineage: Bacteria
Description: bacterial SSU rRNA
Rfam family: Bacterial small subunit ribosomal RNA
Source: RNAcentral